AUUAUGUGAUUCUCUUGCAGGAGCUUGGGUGAAUGCUAUCUGCUAAGUUUAAUGUUUAAGCUUGUCAUCUCAUGAUGUAAAACUUGAUUGUGAGAUAGCCAGUUGCCAUCCAUCUUCCAUUUAAUCCUGUCAGAUUUACUUGCAUGUUGUUCAUUUGUUAAUGACAACUUGAAAUUUGUCUUGUAGUUUGGGGUAGUAGAUGAACCUG
RNAcentral lists this unclassified non-coding RNA (208 nucleotides) under Hevea brasiliensis (rubber tree). Lineage: Eukaryota; Viridiplantae; Streptophyta; Magnoliopsida; Malpighiales; Euphorbiaceae. The record is from RNAcentral.